UCCAAGGGUUCCUGCUUAAAGCUAAUCUGAGCAGGGUAAGCCGACCCCUAAGGCGAGGCCGAAAGGCGUAGUCGAUGGGAACCAGGUUAAUAUUCCUGGGCCAGAUGGAAGUGACGGAUCUCGAGGGUAGUUCAUCCUUAUCGGAUUGAAUGGGCUGCUUAGAGGUCCCUGGAAAUAGCUCCAUCGCUAGAUCGUACCCUAAACCGACACAGGUGGAUAGGUAGAGAAUACCAAGGCGCUUGAGAGAACUAUGUUGAAGGAACUCGGCAAAAUACCUCCGUAAGUUCGCGAGAAGGAGGCCCGGUUCCUAGGCAACUAGGGGCUGGGGGCACAAACCAGGGGGUGGCGACUGUUUAUUAAAAACACAGGGCUCUGCGAAGUCGUAAGACGACGUAUAGGGUCUGACGCCUGCCCGGUGCCUGAAGGUUAAAAGGAGGAGUGAGAGCUCUGAAUUGAAGCCCAGGUAAACGGCGGCCGUAACUAUAACGGUCCUAAGGUAGCGAAAUUCCUUGUCGGGUAAGUUCCGACCUGCACGAAUGGCGUAACGACUUCCCCGCUGUCUCCAACAUAGACUCAGCGAAAUUGAAUUACCGGUCAAGAUGCCGGUUACCCGCGGUUAGACGGAAAGACCCCGUGCACCUUUACUACAACUUCACACUGGCAUUAGGCCGAACAUGUGCAGGAUAGGUGGUGGGCUUUGAAGCGUGGACGCCAGUCUGCGUGGAGCCUCCCUUGAGAUACCACCCUUGUUCUGCUUGAUGUCUAACCGCGGUCCGUUAUCCGGAUCCGGGACCCUGUGUGGUGGGUAGUUUGACUGGGGCGGUCGCCUCCUAAAUCGUAACGGAGGCGCGCGAAGGUUGGCUCAGAGCGGUCGGAAAUCGCUCGUUGAGUGCAAUGGCAGAAGCCAGCCUGACUGCGAGACUGACAAGUCGAGCAGAGUCGAAAGACGGCCAUAGUGAUCCGGUGGUCCCAAGUGGGAGGGCCAUCGCUCAACGGAUAAAAGGUACGCCGGGGAUAACAGGCUGAUACUGCCCAAGAGUCCAUAUCGACGGCAG
RNAcentral lists this ribosomal RNA (1055 nucleotides) under seawater metagenome. RNAcentral's name for it is "bacterial LSU rRNA". It matches the Rfam family "Bacterial large subunit ribosomal RNA", at positions 1344 to 2514 of the family's 2925-position model. The record is from RNAcentral.